UACGAAGGGGGCUAGCGUUGCUCGGAAUCACUGGGCGUAAAGGGUGCGUAGGCGGGUCUUUAAGUCAGGGGUGAAAUCCUGGAGCUCAACUCCAGAACUGCCUUUGAUACUGAAGAUCUUGAGUUCGGGAGAGGUGAGUGGAACUGCGAGUGUAGAGGUGAAAUUCGUAGAUAUUCGGAAGAACACCAGUGGCGAAGGCGGCUCACUGGCCCGUUACCGACGCUCAGGCGCGACAGCGUGGGGAGCAAACAGG
Molecule: ribosomal RNA, 253 nt
Filed under: uncultured bacterium
Lineage: Bacteria
Description: partial 16S ribosomal RNA
Rfam family: Bacterial small subunit ribosomal RNA
Source: RNAcentral